Molecule: long non-coding RNA, 4018 nt
Filed under: Brassica napus (rape)
Lineage: Eukaryota; Viridiplantae; Streptophyta; Magnoliopsida; Brassicales; Brassicaceae
Description: long non-coding RNA (BNAP_LNC010651)
Source: RNAcentral
CGGUCUUCUCGUAGCGAACGCGGUAGUCGAAUUCGAUUUCGCAGGACCUGGCUAAGCAGACGACGAACCGGCCGUCGUCGGAGAGGGUGAAGUUGGUGACGGAGUCGGGCAAGAGGCCGCUCGGGAGGCCGUAUUUGGGGAGGAGGUCGUAGACGGUGGAGAGAGAGAGGGAGAGGGUCGUUGUGGUGAGAGAGAAGAGGAAGAGGGUUGAGAAAGAGAAGCGGUGGAGGGCCAUGCUUUGUUGGAGGAUUAGAGAAGAAGAAGGAGAGAGACUUCUGGAGAUUUUGAUGGGUUCUUCUCCCUUUUGUCACGCAAAUCCAACAAAAUUCAACUCAAAUCAAGUUUUUAAUGUUUUCAAACAUUUAAAAGUAUAUUAAAUUUAACCAUAAAUAUAUUUUUAUCACUAAUGUUCAAUAAAAUCAAAUUAAUAAUAUUAAAUAAAUUCAAUAUUUUAUAAGAGAAAAAGACCAAAAUAGCACUAAAUCAAGUUUUUGUUCCCAAACUAGCACUCAAGGUCAAAAGUCACAAAAAUAGCACUCAAGGGGUGGGGUUUAGGGUUUAGAAUUUAGGGUUUAGGGUUUAGAGUUUAAGUUUUAGGGUUUAGAGUUGAGAAGUGAGGUUUUGGGGAUAAGAUUUCAAAUUUUGAAAAAUAAAAAAAUUUAAAUUUUUCAAAAGAUAAAAUGCUAUUUUGGUCAUUUUAGUUUGUCUCCAUGAGGCGUUCACGCAUCAACGCCAAGUUCUCAUCGGAUAUAUCUUGGUAUAUCUUCCCAUGGUCGCAUUUCUACAAGCAACAACAAACUAUACAAGAUUAGUUUUGAGUCUUUUCUGGUUCACAUGGCAAAACCGGAGAGGCGGGAGAUUGUACCUUGAUCCACUUGCCAUACAAGUGGAGCCGCGUGAUCAUCACUCUUUCCGCAAGCUCCUGAUUUUCCUACAAGUAAGUUAAAAGACAAAGCUCUCAGAUGAGACAACAAAAGUACUCUUCUGUCUUGCCAUGUUGAUAUAUUUUCUAUACCAAGCUCUAAACAAGGCUGAAUCAAACAUAGUAUAGCACAACACAGAGUGUGGUUUUAUGAUAAGAACAAAACCUAUGAACUUGCUUAUUCUUAUUCCAAUUCCAUAAAGUGAGAAGAACUGUCAACACAAAGGCUGAUCCAAACCCUUUUAGUAAAAUAAUUUGCUGAGGUAAGUCUUGUAUAUAUAUACUAGAGUCCUCACUAACUGCUCUAUAACCACCCCACCAGAGCUACAAUCAGCUACAAACAGUCCUACGCUAGAUAUAGUAGAGACCUGCUGCUUAACUUAUUCAACUAGGCUUUAUAGGAUUACCUUGCCGAGUUUGCGGAGGAAACGUUUACCAUCGGUUGGUCUGUUUGAUACGACGUAACUGUUGUAAAACAAAAGCAUACACAUAAAGAUCAGAUGCCAAAAAAAUGAUCACCUAAGUGUUUUUGUUGAUGCAAUUCAUCCUUAUAAAGAACUUGGAGAGCAAUAAGAAACAACUCACUUAUAGAACCAAGUGUACCGGGGAGGAUUCAUUUCGUAGAGCUGAUGAAGAACCGUCCUCACAGCUUUAUAUGUAAAAUAGUUAAUAAGUUGCUGCAAAACAAGAAAAGUCAGAGACAUAAACAUUUUGACUCCUCUCAGAAACAAUCAUUCUCACCGUUUUGACAUCUCCAAAGGUAUCAUCGUAGUUCCCAGCAACGUCCUCGUUCACAAUCAAGAGCUUCCUUUUGCUCCUCCGAUUCGCUAUCCUCGGUACACGCUUCGAAGAAAGCCUGAAAACAAUGCCCGAGCCAGCAAAGGAGCUCCCCAGCUCCAGCUUUCUUGCACUGCCAAGGAUCUUCUUCUUGCUCCUCGUGUGAGCAUCCUUACAUAAACAUGAAUCCAUCACCGAUGAGCCAACAACAAACAGGGCACCCACCAUUACUCCAAACAAAAAAAGAUCAAAACUUUGACUGGGGAAAGCGAACUCCAAGAAAUCAAGAACACAGUAGGUGGAUCUAUGGUGAGAAUCAGACCAAGAACAAAACAGAGAAACAGAACAAAACAGAGAGAGAGAACACGAGUUGGGUGUGUAAGAUGGAAAAUGGCCGUUGAAUACUAGCCAGUCAAAAUCAGGGACAAGUGCUUUAGAUAUUUUAUUAUAUUUUUUUAAAAUUCUUAAACGCAACAAAGCAAAGGCAAAGUAGAAAACCACCGGGUGGGCUUUCGGGUUCACAUGGACACGUUUGUACUUAUUGUCUUCUUGUAACUUUGCGUAAAUGAGGAACAACACUAAAGUAAUGGACAACCUAUAUAGCACAUGGCCAUCUCAGAGGAAGAGAGUCGCAAUAGCCACGAGUUCGAGCUCAAUCUACACGUGAAUGGUCUCGAACUAAAAACGUGUUUUUAGUAUUAUAGUAUGUGAAUGUGUCAAAAAGACAAGUUUUUCGAUCGGAUCUAUGUGUAAUGAUUCUACUUGAAAUGACCUAUGUUGUUAGAAUGCACCAUCCACUGAGUUAUGACAUACAUGAUACAACUAAUAGUAGUAGGGAACUUGAACGGCCAGAGUCUUAUUUUGGUGGUGAUGAACGAACUCGGGAAACAUUUAGUCAUGUUGUCUAGAUACAGACCUUUUUUUUCGUGGAAACGAGUUUUAACAUUUGACAUUUCGUGGGAACGUAUUUGUACAAAGUUGACUGACUAACACUCGACUCCACCGUUAUGUGGUGUUGAGUGAUUGUUGAGAGUAAUCACUCGGUGAUUAGCAUCACAGCUUCAUUCAUCAUUCCUGGAAGCUGCCCUUUUCAAAAAGAAAACAAAAAGUUCUGUUAGUGCAGGUGCCUCAUCUAUUUCCUACAACCCAGCCUGGAUCACUUGCGAGUUGGCUGGUUUUAAAAGGAGCUAAGGCAAUAAACACUCGGAGAAACCAAACCAAAAGCCAUAACAUUUGAUCGAGGCUUGUGAAUAGCAUUCAAACAAACAGCAUUUCAGGUUUAUCAGCUACCUAUUAAGCUACCAAUACGAGCUAAAAGAUCAAAAAACGAACCCACUACUUUCAGUUUCAACAGAAUGUAGCACAUGUACAAUCCGAAAAACAGCAAUGAGAAAAAGUAUAAACUGCUGAUGUAUCUUCUCUCAUUAUCUCAAAAGAGAUGAUCUUUUAGCACCCUUUUCCAAGCUUUUUGCUUUUACCCUUUGUGGUUGGUUUGCUAUAAACUUUAAAGGAAAGCCUACAAUUACAUGAUGGUCAUUUACAAUCCCAAGCACCUAAACAGGUUCAAGUUUAAGAUCCACUAAAAGUUUGAACCCAGAAUCUAAUCCAUAUCAUUCUCAAAUACAUCCUCUAGAACCCUAAACAAAACCCGUAAGCUGCUGCCAUCUACACAUCAUGGCGUCAAUUGAUUCGUUAUUACCAAAAAGUUCAAAUUAGAUUACCCAUCAAAACUCAAUAAAGUUGCCAACUUUGAGAUCAAUUUCAAAAACCCAGAAACGCAGCAUCCUAAAGAAAUCAUCUUUACCUGGAGAAAACUCUUCCAAGAACAUCCAGAGACGCCGCACGAAUGCACAGUCUUGAACUGGUCAAUACCAAGCUUCUUGUUGAUAAACCCAACCUUGAAGUAGAUCGAAUCCGUGGGAGGCAGAUCGACCUUGAUCUCAUCCACAUCCAACCAGAUAAAGAGCCGCUUCACCUGAAUGCCCUCGAGCUCCGUGAUGGACCCGUAGCUGAUCCGUCCGGACACGGUCUUCUCGUAGCGAACGCGGUAGUCGAAUUCGAUUUCGCAGGACCUGGCUAAGCAGACGACGAACCGGCCGUCGUCGGAGAGGGUGAAGUUGGUGACGGAGUCGGGCAAGAGGCCGCUCGGGAGGCCGUAUUUGGGGAGGAGGUCGUAGACGGUGGAGAGAGAGAGGGAGAGGGUCGUUGUGGUGAGAGAGAAGAGGAAGAGGGUUGAGAAAGAGAAGCGGUGGAGGGCCAUGCUUUGUUGGAGGAUUAGAGAAGAAGAAGGAGAGAGACUUCUGGAGAUUUUGAUGGGUU